Molecule: long non-coding RNA, 2463 nt
Organism: Capsicum annuum
Lineage: Eukaryota; Viridiplantae; Streptophyta; Magnoliopsida; Solanales; Solanaceae
Exons: 8
Source: RefSeq, a predicted model, not a curated record
AAGAAUGAUAAAAGUUAAAGCUUUAGGGUUAGAAACCAUGUCUUCAUUCUCUUCUUAAAUCACCGUGUCUUCAUUCUAUUCUUAAAUCUAAUUGUCUGAAGCUUAGGUUUAGCAUCACCAGUUCAUUCUCCUUUGUUCGAAGCUAAAAAGCUAUUAUCUUCAUUCUCUUCUUCUUAUUGUCUAAGCUUAGGGUUAGCAUCGCCAUUUCCUUCUCUCUUGUUCGCAGCUAAAAUUGGCAGCAGAAUUAAAGGGUAAAUUGACAGCAGAAUUAAAGGGUAAAUUCGCAGCAGAAUUCAAGCUAUUGUCGUCUUGCAAUUGUUUUGGGAUUAAGUUGUAUAAAAGGACGGAAUUCCUACUCAUUUGGAGAUCAGUUUGUCCACUUCAAUGUCAGCAUUCCCACAUGCAUAUUCAAUUCCUUAUAUGCUGUACUAUUGAGAAUAUACCAGUGCGAUUAGCCUUCCAUGACGGUCUGUCCCUCUCCAUAUUUAAAUUGUUUAACUUUGCCGUAGUGUUGGAGAAGGAGGUUAUAAUUUCCCGCUCCCAAUCAUUCAAGUUUCUUCGUAGCUGAAACUAUUCAAGCUAUACAAUUGGAGAAACAGAAUAUUCUAAAGUUAAUUGAACAAGAGCAGCAACAAGUAGCACCACCAGUACCACCAUCUAGAUAAAUUGAACAAUCUAUAGUGGUAGAGGAGCAGCAUGCAGAGGAUGAGCAACAUGUAGAGGAUCAGGUCCAAAUGACAGAUUCAGCCACUCCUACAACAGCUGAACAUUCUAAAGCGCAAGCUGUAGGGCCUUUACCUAGAAAAGAAAGAGGCAAAACAUAAAUGCACAAGGUACAUGGUCGGUAAGAGAAAAAAUUGAUCUCAUUAAACCAGAACAACCAACCUACCUGUUGGUCCCAUAGAUGACAUUGUAAUUGAAUUGGGCAGCUUCCUAGGAACAUUGGCAAGGAAAGCGACCCUUUGCCUAUUGUAUAUAUUUGAUUGGAGGCAUAUGGAUACUAAACAGGAGUUAUGGGAGUAUACUCAGGAAAAAUAUGAUAUUCCUGAUGCCGCAAAACAUUGGGUUUUGGAAAUAUUCGAGAUUCUUGGAGAAAGCAUAGAAAUUAUUUGAAAAGAGACCACUAAGAUCCAUAUGAUGAUGAUGUUGCUCAAUUAAACAGCUCCUCGUGUAUUGGAAGACCAAAAAAUUCCAGGCUCAAAUGGAGGAAUUUAAAACACAACAGAGAGCAAAUGAACAACCCGUUGAUGUAUUUUCAACCGUCAUGGGUGUUGAACAUUUGGGACAUGUGAGACUGCUUGGAGGGGAGUUACAAGGACUUCUUUGAAAAUAUUAAAUUGAAGCUCCAGAAAACGUUAAAUGAAAUAAGUGAUGUUGUCCAACAAAUGCAAGAAAAGAUGUUAAAAAAUGGAGGAUCAAAUCGAGGAGCAAAAGAGAACAAUUCGACAUGAAGUUGUUGCAGAUGUAAUUGCUCAAUUUCAGAAUGCAGGAAUAAUUGAUCCGAAGAUACUGGCAGUAUUAUCCUUCUCUUCACCAAUAGAAUCGACUUCUACACUAGCAGGCACUCAAAACAGUCAAGAUUAGUAUUUGAAUUCUGAAUUGUACUCCAUUUCAUGUAGUGGCAUAUGGUGGCUGACUGUAUUGGAGUGUUAUUUGUGGUUGGUAACUAAGAGAAAGGAGUCAGUAGAGUGGAGUCUUGUGCAUUUCUAAAUUGGUUGUUGGAGUGUUGUUUGUUGGAUAAAUUACCUUAUCAGCAACUAAGUACUUCCCAGUUGUUUUCCCCAGUUGCUGAGAAGACCGUGUGACAUCAAGACUAUCAUCCACAACUUGAAAUAACAACCCAAUACAUCUUACAAACUUUCUUAGCUUCUCCAUAUCUUCAUUCUGCCCCUUCUAAAAUAGCCCCGAUCACAAUAGACCCUUCUCAUAAAGCUGCUGUUUUGUGCAAAUAAAUCAAUUUGAACUGCUUUAAAUCAACAUUAGAAAUGCCCUCGGAUAUUAUAUCUACAACCUGUCCAGCUACAAGAGGUUAUGGACCUUUGAUGUUAUUGGAGAAAUUGGGAAAGUUAAAAAUUUGAGAGAGUGCUUAAGGACCUGUAUGAAUUAUGAAGCACUGGGAAGCAAUCGAAUAUUGACUUGACUUGGUAUACAUGGAACUGUUUUUGAUUUUACUGCAGGUUGCCCUAUAUAAAGAAAUUUUUUGUUGUCGGAAGUUCUGCAUCAAUAUAGCCUGCAUUACAUGAGCAUAUAUAGUACUUGUAAAUUAAACUUUGUCAUGUAACUCGUUACCCACCGCACUUUGAGAUCUGCUCAAAACUUUCCUUGGGGCAGAGAUUAGAUGGAUAGUUUUCUGGUCUAUCUUCAUUUUAGAAAAAAGAUUUUGAUAGGUUGUUCAAAUUUAGUUUUGUAUUUACCAUUGGAUGUUGAAAAAUGUGUUAGAACUAUCUUUCUCACAUGUUCCCA